UAUCCCCUGCAGCGAACGAAGUUCACUGGGUUACUCCUUGAGCCUAAUCUAAAACCCAGGGACCUCCGACUUGUCUGAUGUGUGCAUGUCCGCUCCGCGCGGAAAGCCUGAUUCGGCAGAUGGCGCUCCCACCUGAACCUCCUGGUUCAAGGGCAGAAGUGAUCUACGGCGCAGGCGGGGGGUAC
RNAcentral lists this non-coding RNA (185 nucleotides) under Gammaproteobacteria bacterium. Its description in RNAcentral is "6S RNA". It matches the Rfam family "6S / SsrS RNA". Rfam says of the family: E. coli 6S RNA was the first non coding RNA to be sequenced, but its function was unknown until recently. It consists of 184 nucleotides that fold into an extended hairpin structure with a large single-stranded internal bulge. Lineage: Bacteria; Pseudomonadati; Pseudomonadota; Gammaproteobacteria. The record is from RNAcentral.